This 468-nucleotide long non-coding RNA is filed under the name Eutrema salsugineum. Its description in RNAcentral is "long non-coding RNA (ESAL_LNC000767)". The record is from RNAcentral. Lineage: Eukaryota; Viridiplantae; Streptophyta; Magnoliopsida; Brassicales; Brassicaceae.
AUAUAUGGACUCUUAUACCGGCCCAUUAGGCCCAUCAGGGCAUUGUACUUAACCUAGAUUCCUUAUGUACUCUAUAUAUACAUUCCAGUGAUUAAUAAAGUAUCUAAGUUUUCACAACACGUUAUCAGCACGAUAAGACUCUCUGAGCGAAAAACCCUAAUAAAUCCGGCCACCACCAAAACCCUAAAAGCAAGUCGAAACUUAAAAGACGCAUAUCUUCCAAACCGUGAGGAACCAGAAGACGAUCUACAUAUCAAAUCGAAGCCCUCGACGAGACGAAUCUACUGGUGAAAACCGUUUGUCGACCCAACGUCGGACGCGCCCUCACGCACACUUACAGUACACGACGAUCAACCAAAAAAAAAAAAAAAAACCAGAUCCGAGUUUUUCCUUCUUCAACCAGCAGCUUCUCCAGUUUUGGUGAUCAAUCCUUGGAAUUUGUAGCGGCUAACUGAGGUCUAUUAGCUC